GCCGGGAUGGCGGAACUGGCAGACGCGCGGGACUCAAAAUCCCGUGGUGGAAACAUCGUGUGGGUUCGACUCCCUCUCCCGGCACCA
RNAcentral lists this transfer RNA (87 nucleotides) under Candidatus Acetothermia bacterium. Its description in RNAcentral is "tRNA-Leu". It matches the Rfam family "tRNA". From Rfam's summary of the family: Transfer RNA (tRNA) molecules are approximately 80 nucleotides in length. Their secondary structure includes four short double-helical elements and three loops (D, anti-codon, and T loops). The record is from RNAcentral. Lineage: Bacteria; Candidatus Bipolaricaulota.